Molecule: ribosomal RNA, 497 nt
Filed under: uncultured bacterium
Lineage: Bacteria
Description: partial 16S ribosomal RNA
Rfam family: Bacterial small subunit ribosomal RNA
Source: RNAcentral
GGUGAACGCUGGCGGCGUGCCUAAUACAUGCAAGUCGAGCGAACGGACGAGAAGCUUGCUUCUCUGAUGUUAGCGGCGGACGGGUGAGUAACACGUGGAUAACCUACCUAUAAGACUGGGAUAACUUCGGGAAACCGGAGCUAAUACCGGAUAAUAUUUUGAACCGCAUGGUUCAAAAGUAAAAGACGGUCUUGCUGUCACUUAUAGAUGGAUCCGCGCUGCAUUAGCUAGUUGGUAAGGUAACGGCUUACCAAGGCAACGAUGCAUAGCCGACCUGAGAGGGUGAUCGGCCACACUGGAACUGAGACACGGUCCAGACUCCUACGGGAGGCAGCAGUAGGGAAUCUUCCGCAAUGGGCGAAAGCCUGACGGAGCAACGCCGCGUGAGUGAUGAAGGUCUUCGGAUCGUAAAACUCUGUUAUUAGGGAAGAACAAAUGUGUAAGUAACUGUGCACAUCUUGACGGUACCUAAUCAGAAAGCCACGGCUAACUACGUG